GGAGAGGUACUCGAAGCGGCCCAACGAGGUCCGGAAGCUCUUCCGGUCGGGGUGAUCGCACCACCCCUCGCAGGUUCGAAUCCUGCCCUCUCCG
RNAcentral lists this transfer RNA (94 nucleotides) under Streptomyces griseocarneus. Its description in RNAcentral is "tRNA-OTHER". It matches the Rfam family "tRNA". From Rfam's summary of the family: Transfer RNA (tRNA) molecules are approximately 80 nucleotides in length. Their secondary structure includes four short double-helical elements and three loops (D, anti-codon, and T loops). RNAcentral also lists the same sequence under 2 other names. Lineage: Bacteria; Bacillati; Actinomycetota; Actinomycetes; Kitasatosporales; Streptomycetaceae. The record is from RNAcentral.